This 637-nucleotide ribosomal RNA is filed under the name uncultured bacterium. RNAcentral describes it as "bacterial SSU rRNA". It matches the Rfam family "Bacterial small subunit ribosomal RNA", at positions 607 to 1244 of the family's 1533-position model. The record is from RNAcentral.
GCUCAACCGAAGAAGUGCAUCGGAAACUGGGAAACUUGAGUGCAGAAGAGGACAGUGGAACUCCAUGUGUAGCGGUGAAAUGCGUAGAUAUAUGGAAGAACACCAGUGGCGAAGGCGGCUGUCUGGUCUGUAACUGACGCUGAGGCUCGAAAGUAUGGGUAGCAAACAGGAUUAGAUACCCUGGUAGUCCAUACCGUAAACGAUGAAUGCUAAGUGUUGGAGGGUUUCCGCCCUUCAGUGCUGCAGCUAACGCAUUAAGCAUUCCGCCUGGGGAGUACGGCCGCAAGGCUGAAACUCAAAGGAAUUGACGGGGGCCCGCACAAGCGGUGGAGCAUGUGGUUUAAUUCGAAGCUACGCGAAGAACCUUACCAGGUCUUGACAUACUAUGCAAAUCUAAGAGAUUAGACGUUCCCUUCGGGGACAUGGAUACAGGUGGUGCAUGGUUGUCGUCAGCUCGUGUCGUGAGAUGUUGGGUUAAGUCCCGCAACGAGCGCAACCCUUAUUAUCAGUUGCCAGCAUUAAGUUGGGCACUCUGGUGAGACUGCCGGUGACAAACCGGAGGAAGGUGGGGAUGACGUCAAAUCAUCAUGCCCCUUAUGACCUGGGCUACACACGUGCUACAAUGGAUGGUACAACG